ACUAGUAAAUGCUCCUCCCCAUUGCUUGUUAUGAGGCACUUGACGAAGGGAAUUUUCCUGCAAAGGUCCCAGUUACUGAAUGGGUUUUCCAGGCACAGAGCAGAAGCACCAAGAAAGAGAAUGUGUAU
Non-coding RNA from Phascolarctos cinereus (koala), 128 nucleotides. NCBI's taxonomy places the organism in Eukaryota, Metazoa, Chordata, Mammalia, Diprotodontia, Phascolarctidae. The record is from RefSeq and is a predicted model, not a curated record.